AUUGAACGCUGGCGGAAUGCUUUACACAUGCAAGUCGAACGGCAGCACGGGGGCAACCCUGGUGGCGAGUGGCGAACGGGUGAGUAAUACAUCGGAACGUGCCCGGUCGUGGGGGAUUACGUAGCGAAAGUUACGCUAAUACCGCAUACGAUCUGAGGAUGAAAGCGGGGGACCUUCGGGCCUCGCGCGAUCGGAGCGGCCGAUGUCAGAUUAGGUAGUUGGUGGGGUAAAGGCCUACCAAGCCGACGAUCUGUAGCUGGUCUGAGAGGACGACCAGCCACACUGGGACUGAGACACGGCCCAGACUCCUACGGGAGGCAGCAGUGGGGAAUUUUGGACAAUGGGCGCAAGCCUGAUCCAGCCAUUCCGCGUGCAGGACGAAGGCCUUCGGGUUGUAAACUGCUUUUGUAUGGAACGAAAAGGCUCUGGCUAAUACCUGGGGCUCAUGACGGUACCGUAAGAAUAAGCACCGGCUAACUACGUG
RNAcentral lists this ribosomal RNA (484 nucleotides) under uncultured bacterium. Its description in RNAcentral is "partial 16S ribosomal RNA". It matches the Rfam family "Bacterial small subunit ribosomal RNA", at positions 30 to 507 of the family's 1533-position model. The record is from RNAcentral.